This 229-nucleotide ribosomal RNA is filed under the name uncultured bacterium. Its description in RNAcentral is "partial 16S ribosomal RNA". It matches the Rfam family "Bacterial small subunit ribosomal RNA", at positions 547 to 775 of the family's 1533-position model. The record is from RNAcentral.
GGAUUUACUGGGCGUAAAGCGUACGCAGACGGUGAGAAAGGUCGGAUGUGAAAGCCUACGGCUUAACCGUAGAACUGCAUCCAAAACUACUAGGCUAGAGUGUGGGAGAGGAAGAUGGAAUUAGUUGUGUAGGGGUAAAAUCCGUAGAGAUAACUAGGAAUACCAAAAGCGAAGGCAAUCUUCUGGAACACUACUGACGCUGAGGCGCGAAAGCGUGGGGAGCAAACAG